GUCCACGCCGUAACGAUGGAUACUAGCUGUUGGGCGCAAGUUCAGUGGCUAAGCGAAAGUGAUAAGUAUCCCACCUGGGGAGUACGUUCGCAAGAAUGAACUCAAAGGAAUUGACGGGGCCCGCACAAGCGGUGGAGCAUGUGGUUUAAUUCGAUGAUACGCGAGGAACCUUACCAAGGCUUAAAUGUAGAUUGACCGAUUUGGAAACAGAUCUUUCGCAAGACAAUUUACAAGGUGCUGCAUGGUUGUCGU
This 252-nucleotide ribosomal RNA is filed under the name uncultured bacterium. RNAcentral describes it as "partial 16S ribosomal RNA". It matches the Rfam family "Bacterial small subunit ribosomal RNA", at positions 793 to 1055 of the family's 1533-position model. The record is from RNAcentral.